Molecule: unclassified non-coding RNA, 1031 nt
Filed under: Homalodisca vitripennis (glassy-winged sharpshooter)
Lineage: Eukaryota; Metazoa; Arthropoda; Insecta; Hemiptera; Cicadellidae
Description: uncharacterized LOC124369984, transcript variant X5
Source: RNAcentral
AAAUUAAAAUGAAUACUAAAUGUAAUGUGAUGUAAAGGAUGUGCCGCUCUGUAGAAAGCAUUCUUUAUAUUUUAAUACAUGAAGUAUGGGCAGAUUCAUAUUUUAAAAUCUUAAUUAAUUUUCUUCUUAACUAAACAGUUAAAUCAUAAACAUUAUGCUUGGCAAUGACAUUACAAACAAACUUCUGAAAACAAAUCCAUACUCUUUAGUGUUCUCUUUCAGUUUAGUUUUAAUAGGAUGUCUUGGACCCAUGCUAAUUCCACCUCUACAUAUUUCAGUAGUUUACUACUUUUGGUCCAAUUAUAAUCGAGCAAUUAAUAAACAUCUAUGUUCAUGUUCGUGCUGGGAUUCCAUAUUUAAAGGACCAUAUGAAUCAGGAGUUGCCUCAUACAAACACGUGUAUUUUAAUUCAACUUCAAAUUCAUUCAAGAUAUGGACUCUGACAGUGACCUGCAUAAUUCUGCUUUACGAGUCGACUCGCCGCCUAACUAAACUCGUGCUACAGAAGCGAGUUCGUUACUCUAUGACUCUUCUCUUCGUUUCCUCGAUGUUCUCUCAUUACUACUCUUGGUGGAUGUUUUUCAACUACUGGAAUGAUGAGUAUUACUUUCAGUGGUACCAUCAGGUGUUCUUCUCGGUGACUGAAGUGGUAUCAUCCGCACAGGUCCUCCUUCUCGCUGACAGGCAGGUCGGCCUCACCGUAGCUAGAACUCUACCUGUUGUUACCAUCGCUUUCAUCCAUAUUCUCGCAUCCUGUUCAGAUCAAUUCUUCCACAACGUUUUACAGGGAGAAGGAUACUCUUAUCAGAGUUGAAGGUGGGUCUGUGUCUCUAGCAAUCCUGCACAUCUGACCUGUGUGGUCUAGAACUCCAAUAUUCAAUUCACCUGGCAACAGGUAGUCCGAGAUAUCGGCUUCAUGAUAUCAGAUCUUCUUCAUGUGAUGAUUCCACUGUGGCAUCUGAAGAAUCAGAAGCAGACCAACCGGAUUCAGAACAGAGAUUGGAUUUACUUCUUUCUGACUGUUAUCAUGG